AUACGGAGGGUGCAAGCGUUAAUCGGAAUUACUGGGCGUAAAGAGUACGUAGGUGGUUUAUUAAGUCAGAUGUGAAAGCCCCGGGCUUAACCUGGGAACUGCAUUUGAUACUGGCAAACUAGAGUAUGGUAGAGGCGGGUAGAAUUCCUAGUGUAGCGGUGAAAUGCGUAGAUAUUAGGAGGAAUACCAGUGGCGAAGGCGGCCCGCUGGACCAAUUCUGACACUGAGGUACGAAAGCGUGGGUAGCGAACAGGAUUAGAAACCCGAGUAGUCC
This 274-nucleotide ribosomal RNA is filed under the name uncultured bacterium. RNAcentral describes it as "partial 16S ribosomal RNA". It matches the Rfam family "Bacterial small subunit ribosomal RNA", at positions 523 to 796 of the family's 1533-position model. The record is from RNAcentral.